CGUUAGGUAAUUGCAACGUCAGUGUCUACGUGUAGGAAGUAACCAACUCACCUCAGAUAACUACAAUACUGGUCAAAAACAGGUGGUACGCAUGGUUUCAAUGUCAAUGCAGAUUUUUGACAUAUAACAUAGUGGGCAAAUGCCUUUGAUUACCCUCGGGCCCGUACCUGCUAAAUGGCGGUCAAAUAACAUUGAAAUUAGGCGAGGGAGGAAUUGGAAAUUCGAGUUUAUUUCUGUUCCUCUGUGGUUUGCUGAGAUAUAUUGACCAGUAUUGCAGCCUACCUUUUGGAAUACAUUGUUUGGAAAUUUAUAAACAAAGUGUCCAAGAACAAUG
Molecule: non-coding RNA, 334 nt
Organism: Paramuricea clavata
Lineage: Eukaryota; Metazoa; Cnidaria; Anthozoa; Malacalcyonacea; Plexauridae
Source: the annotation of a GenBank genome assembly